Molecule: long non-coding RNA, 670 nt
Organism: Physella acuta
Lineage: Eukaryota; Metazoa; Mollusca; Gastropoda; Physidae
Source: RefSeq, a predicted model, not a curated record
UAAAUUGAAAAAUUGAAUUCAAUGUGUCUUGAGCAGAACCCUUGUAUUCCCCCAGCAAUAGUGCAUCGUAAAUUGACUUAAUAAUAAAUUAUUAUUAUUUCAUAAGAAUUUUUCCUCAUCUGAUUAAAAUGAAGUUCGCAGUUCUCCUUCUCGUGGUCCUGGUGUGUCUGUUAAAUCUCAUCGUUGAAUCUGAAAGUUGUUGUAAAGCAAUUGGUGAUAGGUGUGGUCAUGGCUUCUAUUGCUGCCCUUUUCUUGAGUGUAACAUCAAGAGCACAGGGAAUACUUGUGGUUCAAUUUGAAAAAUAAAGGGUACCAUAAAUCACUGAGAAAAACCAGGAGUAAAGUUUAAUGGAGGAGUCCCAUAUUUAAAAAUAAUUAUUCUUGAUUCUGUUUGAUUCCGCUGUCUCUCAAAUGUUAAAAUGUUUUACAAAUCAGUUGAAAAGAAAUGUUUCUUUUUAAAUACUUAAAAAAUCAGUAUAAAACUAUAAAUUGAUAAUUUUAAUUUGUUAUUUGCAUUUGUUUUAAGUUGCUAUAAAAUAUGUAGACAUUUGCUUAUUGAUAUGUUUUCAUUUUAUUACUAACGACAUGUUACUAAUUAUGUUUUACGCUGCCAUAAAAAUAUUUUAGUAUUUAUUUUUUAAUGCUACUUUUGGUCUAAAAUUGUAUUUAU